RNAcentral lists this ribosomal RNA (413 nucleotides) under uncultured Enterobacteriaceae bacterium. RNAcentral's name for it is "bacterial SSU rRNA". It matches the Rfam family "Bacterial small subunit ribosomal RNA", at positions 30 to 438 of the family's 1533-position model. The record is from RNAcentral. Lineage: Bacteria; Pseudomonadati; Pseudomonadota; Gammaproteobacteria; Enterobacterales; Enterobacteriaceae.
AUUGAACGCUGGCGGCAGGCCUAACACAUGCAAGUCGAGCGGCAGCGGAAAGUAGCUUGCUACUUUGCCGGCGAGCGGCGGACGGGUGAGUAAUGUCUGGGAAACUGCCUGAUGGAGGGGGAUAACUACUGGAAACGGUAGCUAAUACCGCAUGACCUCGAAAGAGCAAAGUGGGGGAUCUUCGGACCUCACGCCAUCGGAUGUGCCCAGAUGGGAUUAGCUAGUAGGUGAGGUAAUGGCUCACCUAGGCGACGAUCCCUAGCUGGUCUGAGAGGAUGACCAGCCACACUGGAACUGAGACACGGUCCAGACUCCUACGGGAGGCAGCUCUGGGGAAUAUUGCACAACGGGCGAUAGCCUGAUGCAGCCAUGCCGUUUGUGUGAUGAAGGCCUUCGGGUGUAAAGUUCUUUCC